RNAcentral lists this ribosomal RNA (690 nucleotides) under Triticum aestivum (bread wheat). RNAcentral's name for it is "partial small subunit ribosomal RNA". The record is from RNAcentral. Lineage: Eukaryota; Viridiplantae; Streptophyta; Magnoliopsida; Poales; Poaceae.
AUGUCGACUGCAGGGAUAAUCAAAGUCUCCGCUGCGUGCCCUGUCUUCGAUGGCACUGAUUACCCCUACUGGAAGAAUAAGAUGUGUAUGCAUCUUGAAGCCAUUGACGUCGACCUCUGGUAUGUCGUCAAGAACGAUGUUCCCAAGGUCGGUGAAGGUGUCACUGCUGCUGAUGUCAAGAGGUUCAUUCAACUGGACUUGACUACCAAGAACAUCAUCUGUGGCCAUCUGACCAAAGGAAAGUAUGGUCGUGUGAGUGCUCUGGAAACUGCGAAGCUAGUCUGGGACUGGCUCUCCAAGGUCAACGAUGGCGUCUCAACCCAGAGAGACUCAAGGAUUAGUGUUCUUCGCAACCUCUUCAACCUCUUCAAGAGAAAUGACAAUGAGAAUGUCCAUCUGAAAUUUGAUCGCCUCACUGAUAUCACAAAUGAGCUUCAUGCACUCGGCGCCACUGAGAUCACCAAGCACGAAAUCGUCAAGACGCUCCUGAGAUCGCUUGACAGCUCAUUCGACACCCUGGCCCUGAUGAUUCAAGAACGCCCUAACUUUAAGACUCUCGAUCCGUCUGACAUACUUGAGAGGCUCAACAUACAUGAGUUCCAGCUAUCUGAGAAAAGAGAUAUCUAUGGUCCCAACUAUGGCCAAACUCGCGCUUUGAAGGCAAAGGUUGUUUCCUCAUCUGAAGAAUAA